Molecule: ribosomal RNA, 886 nt
Filed under: uncultured bacterium
Lineage: Bacteria
Description: bacterial SSU rRNA
Rfam family: Bacterial small subunit ribosomal RNA
Source: RNAcentral
CAUGCAAGUCGAACGAGCAAGAGAGAGCUUGCUUUCUCGAGCGAGUGGCGAACGGGUGAGUAACGCGUGAGGAACCUGCCUCAAAGAGGGGGACAACAGUUGGAAACGACUGCUAAUACCGCAUAAGCCCACGGUGCCGCAUGGCACAGAGGGAAAAGGAGCAAUCCGCUUUGAGAUGGCCUCGCGUCCGAUUAGCUAGUUGGUGAGGUAACGGCCCACCAAGGCAACGAUCGGUAGCCGGACUGAGAGGUUGAACGGCCACAUUGGGACUGAGACACGGCCCAGACUCCUACGGGAGGCAGCAGUGGGGAAUAUUGCACAAUGGGGGAAACCCCGAUGCAGCGACGCCGCGUGGAGGAAGAAGGUCUUCGGAUUGUAAACUCCUGUUGUUGGGGAAGAUAAUGACGGUACCCAACAAGGAAGUGACGGCUAACUACGUGCCAGCAGCCGCGGUAAAACGUAGGUCACAAGCGUUGUCCGGAAUUACUGGGUGUAAAGGGAGCGCAGGCGGGAAGACAAGUUGGAAGUGAAAUCUAUGGGCUCAACCCAUAAACUGCUUUCAAAACUGUUUUUCUUGAGUAGUGCAGAGGUAGGCGGAAUUCCCGGUGUAGCGGUGGAAUGCGUAGAUAUCGGGAGGAACACCAGUGGCGAAGGCGGCCUACUGGGCACCAACUGACGCUGAGGCUCGAAAGUGUGGGUAGCAAACAGGAUUAGAUACCCUGGUAGUCCACACCGUAAACGAUGAUUACUAGGUGUUGGAGGAUUGACCCCUUCAGUGCCGCAGUUAACACAAUAAGUAAUCCACCUGGGGAGUACGACCGCAAGGUUGAAACUCAAAGGAAUUGACGGGGGCCCGCACAAGCAGUGGAGUAUGUGGUUUAAUUCG